RNAcentral lists this ribosomal RNA (253 nucleotides) under uncultured bacterium. Its description in RNAcentral is "partial 16S ribosomal RNA". It matches the Rfam family "Bacterial small subunit ribosomal RNA", at positions 524 to 776 of the family's 1533-position model. The record is from RNAcentral.
UACGGAGGGUGCAAGCGUUAUCCGGAUUUACUGGGUUUAAAGGGUGUGUAGGCGGGCUUUUAAGUCAGUGGUGAAAUCUCUGGGCUCAACCUGGAAACUGCCAUUGAUACUAUUAGUCUUGAAUUCUGUUGAGGUAGGCGGAAUAAGUCAUGUAGCGGUGAAAUGCAUAGAUAUGACUUAGAACACCGAUUGCGAAGGCAGCUUACUAAACAGACAUUGACGCUGAGGCACGAAAGCGUGGGGAUCAAACAGG